RNAcentral lists this long non-coding RNA (370 nucleotides) under Populus trichocarpa (black cottonwood). RNAcentral's name for it is "long non-coding RNA (PTRI_LNC002745)". The record is from RNAcentral. Lineage: Eukaryota; Viridiplantae; Streptophyta; Magnoliopsida; Malpighiales; Salicaceae.
AAUUGUUCAAGAUUUGUUAGAUGUGAGAUUUCUUAGUUGCAGCUUUUUAAUUCGGUUUGUUCUUUUGAAAAAGGCUAUUUAAGCCAUCUCUUCAUACCGACGCAAUUUAGUUUCUUGCUGGAUUCCGGUAUCGGAAGAGCCUUACAAAAACAAUAGCAGUAGAGAAAAAACCAGCCAAUCAAAGCGCUUUAAUGGUCAUCACGAUCACCGGAGCAUGAUAAUGAAGAGUAAUCAAGUCUGAUGACGAUUGGUAUUUUGAACCACUAGAGAAUGGGAUCUUGAAUGAUGCACAAACGAGAGUCAUAGAAGACCGGAGAAAAUACUUUACAAAAACAUUGACAACGGAAAACAAGACGCGAUUCAUGGCGAG